AACGAACGCUGGCGGCAUGCCUAACACAUGCAAGUCGAACGAGAACUUCGGGUCUAGUGGCGCACGGGUGCGUAACGCGUGGGAACCUGCACUUAGGUUCGGAAUAACUCCCCGAAAGGGGUGCUAAUACCGGAUAAUGUCUUCGGACCAAAGAUUUAUCGCCUUUGGAUGGGCCCGCGUUGGAUUAGCUAGUUGGUAGGGUAAAAGCCUACCAAUGCGACGAUCCAUAGCUGGUCUGAGAGGAUGAUCAGCCACACUGGGACUGAGACACGGCCCAGACUCCUACGGGAGGCAGCAGUGGGGAAUAUUGGACAAUGGGCGAAAGCCUGAUCCAGCAAUGCCGCGUGAGUGAUGAAGGCCUUAGGGUUGUAAAGCUCUUUUACCCGGGAUGAUAAUGACAGUACCGGGAGAAUAAGCUCCGGCUAACUCCGUG
This 433-nucleotide ribosomal RNA is filed under the name uncultured bacterium. RNAcentral's name for it is "partial 16S ribosomal RNA". It matches the Rfam family "Bacterial small subunit ribosomal RNA", at positions 29 to 507 of the family's 1533-position model. The record is from RNAcentral.